This 369-nucleotide ribosomal RNA is filed under the name uncultured bacterium. RNAcentral describes it as "bacterial SSU rRNA". It matches the Rfam family "Bacterial small subunit ribosomal RNA", at positions 136 to 507 of the family's 1533-position model. The record is from RNAcentral.
CUGGGGAAUAACCGGUGGAAACGCCGACUAAUACCCCAUAGUAUCAACUUUAGGCAUCUUUAGUUGAUAAAGAAUUUCGGAAACGGAUAGGCUCGCGUGACAUUAGCUAGAUGGCGGGUAACGGCCCACCAUGGCGACGAUGUCUAGGGGUUCUGAGAGGAAGGUCCCCCACACUGGAACUGAGACACGGUCCAGACUCCUACGGGAGGCAGCAGUGAGGAAUAUUGGUCAAUGGUCUAACGACUGAACCAGCCAUGCCGCGUGAAGGUCACGGCCCUAUGGGUCUUAAACUUCUUUUGUCAGGGAGCAAUAAGGUCUACGUGUAGAUUGAUGAGAGUACCUGACGAAUAAGCAUCGGCUAACUCCGUG